GACGGAGGGUGCAAGCGUUAUUCGGAAUUAUUGGGCGUAAAGAGUGUGUAGGCGGCCGGUUAAGUCAGGCGUGAAAGCGCAGGGCUCAACCCUGGAGGUGCGUUUGAAACUGGCUGGCUUGAGUUCGGGAGAGGGAAGCGGAAUUCCGGGUGUAGAGGUGAAAUUCGUAGAUAUCCGGAGGAACAUCGGUGGCGUAGGCGGCUUCCUGGACCGAAACUGACGCUGAGACACGAAAGCGUGAGGAGCAAACAGG
This 253-nucleotide ribosomal RNA is filed under the name uncultured bacterium. Its description in RNAcentral is "partial 16S ribosomal RNA". It matches the Rfam family "Bacterial small subunit ribosomal RNA", at positions 524 to 776 of the family's 1533-position model. The record is from RNAcentral.